This 292-nucleotide ribosomal RNA is filed under the name uncultured bacterium. RNAcentral's name for it is "partial 16S ribosomal RNA". It matches the Rfam family "Bacterial small subunit ribosomal RNA", at positions 505 to 796 of the family's 1533-position model. The record is from RNAcentral.
GUGUCAGCAGCCGCGGUAAUACGAAGGGUGCGAGCGUUAUUCGGAAUCACUGGGCGUAAAGGGUGCGUAGACGGUAUGUUAAGUUUGUUGUUAAAGGCUCCGGCCUAACUGGAGUAUUGCGAUGAAAACUGGCAAACUAGAGGGUGAGAGAGAGAAGUGGAAUUCCCGGAGUAGCGGUAAAAUGCGUGGAUCUCGGGAGGAACACCAAUGGCGAAGGCAGCUUCUUGGCUCAUUCCUGACGUUGAGGCACGAAAGCGUGGGGAGCAAACAGGAUUAGAUACCCGUGUAGUCC